RNAcentral lists this ribosomal RNA (912 nucleotides) under uncultured crenarchaeote. RNAcentral's name for it is "bacterial SSU rRNA". It matches the Rfam family "Archaeal small subunit ribosomal RNA", at positions 1 to 922 of the family's 1478-position model. The record is from RNAcentral. Lineage: Archaea; Thermoproteati; Thermoproteota.
UUCCGGUUGAUCCUGCCGGACCCGACUGCUAUCAGAGUAGGACUAAGCCAUGCGAGUCAACGCCGCAAGGCGUGGCAUACGGCUCAGUAACACGUAGUCAACAUGCCCAGGGGACGUGGAUAACCUCGGGAAACUGAGGAUAAACCGCGAUAGGCCAAGGUUUCUGGAAUGGACCAUGGCUGAAACCUAUACGGCCCCUGGAUUGGACUGCGGCCGAUCAGGCUGUUGGUGAGGUAAUGGCCCACCAAACCUGUAACCGGUACGGGCUUUGAGAGAAGGAGCCCGGAGAUGGGCACUGAGACAAGGGCCCAGGCCCUAUGGGGCGCAGCAGGCGCGAAACCUCUGCAAUAGGCGAAAGCUUGACAGGGUUACUCUGAGUGAUGCCCGCUAAGGGCAUCUUUUGGCACCUCUAAAAAUGGUGCAGAAUAAGGGGUGGGCAAGUCUGGUGUCAGCCGCCGCGGUAAUACCAGCACCCCGAGUGGUCGGGACGAUUAUUGGGCCUAAAGCAUCCGUAGCUUGUUCUGCAAGUCCUCCGUUAAAUCCACCUGCUCAACAGAUGGGCUGCGGAGGAUACUACAGGGCUAGGAGGCGGGAGAGGCAAGCGGUACUCAGUGGGUAGGGGUAAAAUCCUCUGAUCCACUGAAGACCACCAGUGGCGAAGGCGGCUUGCUAGAACGCGCUCGACGGUGAGGGAUGAAAGCUGGGGGAGCAAACCGGAUUAGAUACCCGGGUAGUCCCAGCUGUAAACGAUGCAGACUCGGUGAUGGGUUGGCUUUGAGCCAACCCAGCGCCGCAGGGAAGCCGUUAAGUCUGCCGCCUGGGGAGUACGGUCGCAAGACUGAAACUUAAAGGAAUUGGCGGGGGAGCACCACAAGGGGUGAAGCCUGCGGUUCAAUUGGAUUCAACGCCGGA